AGGCAUUGAGGCAGCCAGCGCAGGGGCUUCUGCUGAGGGGGCAGGCGGAGCUUGAGGAAACCGCAGAUAAGUUUUUUUCUCUUUGAAAGAUAGAGAUUAAUACAACUACUUAAAAAAUAUAGUCAAUAGGUUACUAAGAUAUUGCUUAGCGUUAAGUUUUUAACGUAAUUUUAAUAGCUUAAGAUUUUAAGAGAAAAUAUGAAGACUUAGAAGAGUAGCAUGAGGAAGGAAAAGAUAAAAGGUUUCUAAAACAUGACGGAGGUUGAGAUGAAGCUUCUUCAUGGAGUAAAAAAUGUAUUUAAAAGAAAAUUGAGAGAAAGGACUACAGAGCCCCGAAUUAAUACCAAUAGAAGGGCAAUGCUUUUAGAUUAAAAUGAAGGUGACUUAAACAGCUUAAAGUUUAGUUUAAAAGUUGUAGGUGAUUAAAAUAAUUUGAAGGCGAUCUUUUAAAAAGAGAUUAAACCGAAGGUGAUUAAAAGACCUUGAAAUCCAUGACGCAGGGAGAAUUGCGUCAUUUAAAGCCUAGUUAACGCAUUUACUAAACGCAGACGAAAAUGGAAAGAUUAAUUGGGAGUGGUAGGAUGAAACAAUUUGGAGAAGAUAGAAGUUUGAAGUGGAAAACUGGAAGACAGAAGUACGGGAAGGCGAAGAAAAGAAUAGAGAAGAUAGGGAAAUUAGAAGAUAAAAACAUACUUUUAGAAGAAAAAAGAUAAAUUUAAACCUGAAAAGUAGGAAGCAGAAGAAAAAAGACAAGCUAGGAAACAAAAAGCUAAGGGCAAAAUGUACAAACUUAGAAGAAAAUUGGAAGAUAGAAACAAGAUAGAAAAUGAAAAUAUUGUCAAGAGUUUCAGAUAGAAAAUGAAAAACAAGCUAAGACAAGUAUUGGAGAAGUAUAGAAGAUAGAAAAAUAUAAAGCCAAAAAUUGGAUAAAAUAGCACUGAAAAAAUGAGGAAAUUAUUGGUAACCAAUUUAUUUUAAAAGCCCAUCAAUUUAAUUUCUGGUGGUGCAGAAGUUAGAAGGUAAAGCUUGAGAAGAUGAGGGUGUUUACGUAGACCAGAACCAAUUUAGAAGAAUACUUGAAGCUAGAAGGGGAAGUUGGUUAAAAAUCACAUCAAAAAGCUACUAAAAGGACUGGUGUAAUUUAAAAAAAACUAAGGCAGAAGGCUUUUGGAAGAGUUAGAAGAAUUUGGAAGGCCUUAAAUAUAGUAGCUUAGUUUGAAAAAUGUGAAGGACUUUCGUAACGGAAGUAAUUCAAGAUCAAGAGUAAUUACCAACUUAAUGUUUUUGCAUUGGACUUUGAGUUAAGAUUAUUUUUUAAAUCCUGAGGACUAGCAUUAAUUGACAGCUGACCCAGGUGCUACACAGAAGUGGAUUCAGUGAAUCUAGGAAGACAGCAGCAGACAGGAUUCCAGGAACCAGUGUUUGAUGAAGCUAGGACUGAGGAGCAAGCGAGCAAGCAGCAGUUCGUGGUGAAGAUAGGAAAAGAGUCCAGGAGCCAGUGCGAUUUGGUGAAGGAAGCUAGGAAGAAGGAAGGAGCGCUAACGAUUUGGUGGUGAAGCUAGGAAAAAGGAUUCCAGGAAGGAGCGAGUGCAAUUUGGUGAUGAAGGUAGCAGGCGGCUUGGCUUGGCAACCACACGGAGGAGGCGAGCAGGCGUUGUGCGUAGAGGAUCCUAGACCAGCAUGCCAGUGUGCCAAGGCCACAGGGAAAGCGAGUGGUUGGUAAAAAUCCGUGAGGUCGGCAAUAUGUUGUUUUUCUGGAACUUACUUAUGAAACUUUGUCUGCGAACACUCUUUAAUGGACCAGAUCAGGAUUUGAGCGGAAGAACGAAUGUAACUUUAAGAGGCAUUUCAUCCUUCAUGAAGCCAUUCAGGAUUUUGAAUUGCAUAUGAGUGCUUGGCUCUUCCUUCUGUUCUAACUUCACAGAGAAUGCAGUUGUCUUGACUUCAGGUCUGUCUGUUCUGUUGGCAAGUAAAUGCAGUACUGUUCUGAUCCCGCUGCUAUUAGAAUGCAUUGUGAAACGACUGGAGUAUGAUUAAAAGUUGUGUUCCCCAA
Molecule: long non-coding RNA, 2053 nt
Organism: Homo sapiens (human)
Lineage: Eukaryota; Metazoa; Chordata; Mammalia; Primates; Hominidae
Gene: MALAT1
Product: metastasis associated lung adenocarcinoma transcript 1
Source: Ensembl